RNAcentral lists this ribosomal RNA (460 nucleotides) under uncultured bacterium. Its description in RNAcentral is "partial 16S ribosomal RNA". It matches the Rfam family "Bacterial small subunit ribosomal RNA", at positions 338 to 795 of the family's 1533-position model. The record is from RNAcentral.
CCUACGGGUGGCAGCAGUGAGGAAUAUUGGUCAAUGGACGCAAGUCUGAACCAGCCAUGCCGCGUGCAGGAAGACGGCUCUAUGAGUUGUAAACUUCUUUUGUACGAGGGUAAAUCGCGAUACGUGUAUCGGGUUGAAAGUAUCAUACGAAUAAGGAUCGGCUAACUCCGUGCCAGCAGCCGCGGUAAUACGGAGGAUUCAAGCGUUAUCCGGAUUUAUUGGGUUUAAAGGGUGCGUAGGCGGUUUGUUAAGUUAGUGGUGAAAGCCCGGGGCUCAAACCCGGCACUGCCUUUGAUACUGGCGUGCUAGAGUUUAGUAGAGGUAGGCGGAAUGUGUGGUGUAGCGGUGAAAUGCAUAGAGAUCAUAAAAAACUCCGAUUGCGAAGGCAGUUCACUAAACUACGACUGACGUUGAGGCACGAAAGCGUGGGGAGCAAACAGGAUUAGAUACCCUAGUAGUC